Molecule: transfer RNA, 72 nt
Filed under: Goggia incognita
Lineage: Eukaryota; Metazoa; Chordata; Lepidosauria; Squamata; Gekkonidae
Description: tRNA-Trp
Source: RNAcentral
AAGUUUAGGUUAAUCAACUUAAAACCAAGGACCUUCAAAGCCCUAAACAGGGAUCAACCCCCCUAACUUCUG